RNAcentral lists this ribosomal RNA (358 nucleotides) under uncultured soil bacterium. RNAcentral's name for it is "bacterial SSU rRNA". It matches the Rfam family "Bacterial small subunit ribosomal RNA", at positions 26 to 412 of the family's 1533-position model. The record is from RNAcentral.
AGAACGAACGCUGGCGGCAGGCCUAACACAUGCAAGUCGAACGCUCUUUUCGGAGAGAGUGGCGCACGGGUGAGUAACGCGUGGGAAUCUGCCCUUUGGUUCGGAAUAACCCUGGGAAACUAGGGCUAACACCGGAUAAGCCCCGCGAGGGGGAAAGUUUACGCCGAAGGAGGAGCCCGCGUCCGAUUAGCUAGUUGGUGAGGUAAGAGCUCACCAAGGCUUCGAUCGGUAGCUGGUCUGAGAGGACGAUCAGCCACACUGGGACUGAGACACGGCCCAGACUCCUACGGGAGGCAGCAGUGGGGAAUAUUGGACAAUGGGCGCAAGCCUGAUCCAGCCAUGCCGCGUGAGUGAUGAA